RNAcentral lists this ribosomal RNA (482 nucleotides) under uncultured bacterium. RNAcentral's name for it is "partial 16S ribosomal RNA". It matches the Rfam family "Bacterial small subunit ribosomal RNA", at positions 30 to 507 of the family's 1533-position model. The record is from RNAcentral.
AUUGAACGCUGGCGGCAUGAUUUACACAUGCAAGUCGUACGGUAACAGGCCGCAAGGUGCUGACGAGUGGCGAACGGGUGCGUAAUGCAUCGGAACGUGCCCAGUCGUGGGGGAUAACUACUCGAAAGAGUAGCUAAUACCGCAUACGAUCUAUGGAUGAAAGCGGGGGACCGUAAGGCCUCGCGCGAUUGGUGCGGCCGAUGUCAGAUUAGGUAGUUGGUGGGGUAAAGGCUCACCAAGCCAACGAUCUGUAGCUGGUCUGAGAGGACGACCAGCCACACUGGGACUGAGACACGGCCCAGACUCCUACGGGAGGCAGCAGUGGGGAAUUUUGGACAAUGGGCGCAAGCCUGAUCCAGCAAUGCCGCGUGCAGGAAGAAGGCCUUCGGGUUGUAAACUGCUUUUGUACGGAACGAAACGGCUCUGGUUAAUACCCGGGGAUAAUGACGGUACCGUAAGAAUAAGCACCGGCUAACUACGUG